GUAUAGGAGGGCUACCUCUACUAAAAUAGGUACGAUACAUUAUUAGGUUAGCAUGAUCCUUGCGCAAAGAUGAACGCAAAAUAGAGAAGCGUUCUACAUUUUU
Molecule: small nuclear RNA, 103 nt
Organism: Bombyx mandarina (wild silkworm)
Lineage: Eukaryota; Metazoa; Arthropoda; Insecta; Lepidoptera; Bombycidae
Source: RefSeq, a predicted model, not a curated record